UACGGAGGGUGCGAGCGUUAAUCGGAAUAACUGGGCGUAAAGGGCGCGCAGGCGGGUUUUUAAGUGAGAUGUGAAAUCCCCGGGCUUAACCUGGGAAUGGCAUUUGAGACUGGGAGACUAGAGUGCAGGAGGGGGGGGUAGAAUUCCACGUGUAGCGGUGAAAUGCGUAGAGAUGUGGAGGAAUACCGGAGGCGAAGGCGGCCCCUUGGGAUUGUACUGACGCUGAGGUGCGAAAGCGUGGGGAGCAAACAGG
Molecule: ribosomal RNA, 253 nt
Filed under: uncultured bacterium
Lineage: Bacteria
Description: partial 16S ribosomal RNA
Rfam family: Bacterial small subunit ribosomal RNA
Source: RNAcentral